Saccostrea cuccullata (small rock oyster) is the source of this 323-nucleotide long non-coding RNA. RefSeq lists it as uncharacterized. NCBI's taxonomy places the organism in Eukaryota, Metazoa, Mollusca, Bivalvia, Ostreida, Ostreidae. The record is from RefSeq and is a predicted model, not a curated record. The transcript has 4 exons.
AACAGUUACACGCCUUGAUCAUGAACAAAUGUGUGCUUGUGUUGGUGGCACUGGUGCUACUAUCCGGAAUGACAAUGAUCUGUGAAGGAAAUAGAGCUUGGAGAUCAUACUAUAAUCCAUCAUCUCGAUCACGAUUCCGAAAUUUCAGAUUCAAUCGAUCUAGACAGUUCAGUAGAUUUGGACCUCGUUCUCGAUCUACAGGAGGAUGGGCUAGUCAGUUUUCAAAGCGCCGUUGACUAAAUAAGGUCCAUCCCGAUUGAAGGAAAGGUGUUUUUAAUUGUUAUCCAUUUUUUUUUAUUUUUGUAAUAAAAUGAUUUUUUCUA